Molecule: non-coding RNA, 73 nt
Organism: Zootermopsis nevadensis
Lineage: Eukaryota; Metazoa; Arthropoda; Insecta; Blattodea; Termopsidae
Source: Rfam
GCCACGAUGGUCUAGCGGUUAGAACGCUGGCCUUGUAAUCCUGGCGUCUCGGGUUCGAUUCCCGGCGGUGCCC